CCUGUGGCCUAUCAGUUAGUUGGUGAGGUAACGGCUCACCAAGACGAUGACGGGUAGCUGGUCUGAGAGGACGACCAGCCAGAAUGGAACUGAGACACGGUCCAUACUCCUACGGGAGGCAGCAGUUAGGAAUCUUCCACAAUGGGCGAAAGCCUGAUGGAGCGACACCGCGUGAAGGAUGAAACCCUUAACUGGGCGUAAACUUCUGUUAUGAGGGACAAAAUUUUUGACGGUACCUCAUGAGAAAGCACCGGCUAAUUCUGUGCCAGCAGCCGCGGUAAGACAGAAGGUGCAAGCGUUACUCGGAAUUACUGGGCGUAAAGCGUCUGUAGGUGUCCUUCCACGUCUGGAUUUAAAUUGCGAAGCUCAACUUCGCAUCUGAUCUGGAAACGAGAGGGAUCGAGUCAUUCAGAGGCAUCUGGAAUGUCAUGUGUAGGGGUAAAAUCCGUAGAUACAUGAUGGAACGCCCAAAGCGAAGGCAGGAUGCUAGGAAUGUACUGACACUCAGAGACGAAAGCGUGGGGAGCAAAGGGGAUUAGAUACCCCCGUAGUCCACGCCCUCAACGAUGCGAGCUCGGUGUAGGGAUUUCAAUCUGUCCCUGUGCCUUAGCUUACGCGGUAAGCUCGCCGCCUGGGAAGUACGGCCGCAAGGCUAAAACUCAAAGGAAUUGACGG
RNAcentral lists this ribosomal RNA (675 nucleotides) under uncultured bacterium. Its description in RNAcentral is "bacterial SSU rRNA". It matches the Rfam family "Bacterial small subunit ribosomal RNA", at positions 230 to 916 of the family's 1533-position model. The record is from RNAcentral.